Molecule: ribosomal RNA, 419 nt
Filed under: Salmonella enterica subsp. enterica serovar Heidelberg
Lineage: Bacteria; Pseudomonadati; Pseudomonadota; Gammaproteobacteria; Enterobacterales; Enterobacteriaceae
Also listed under: 3 other names
Description: partial 23S ribosomal RNA
Rfam family: Bacterial large subunit ribosomal RNA
Source: RNAcentral
CGGAAGACCAAGGGUUCCUGUCCAACGUUAAUCGGGGCAGGGUGAGUCGACCCCUAAGGCGAGGCCGAAAGGCGUAGUCGAUGGGAAACGGGUUAAUAUUCCCGUACUUGGUGUUACUGCGAAGGGGGGACGGAGAAGGCUAUGUUGGCCGGGCGACGGUUGUCCCGGUUUAAGCGUGUAGGUGUGUGUUCCAGGUAAAUCCGGUUCACUUUAACACUGAGGCGUGAUGACGAGGCACUACGGUGCUGAAGCAACAAAUGCCCUGCUUCCAGGAAAAGCCUCUAAGCAUCAGGUAACAUCAAAUCGUACCCCAAACCGACACAGGUGGUCAGGUAGAGAAUACCAAGGCGCUUGAGAGAACUCGGGUGAAGGAACUAGGCAAAAUGGUGCCGUAACUUCGGGAGAAGGCACGCUGACAC